AACGAACGCUGGCGGCGCGCCUAAUACAUGCAAGUCGAGCGAGAAGGUGUAGCAAUACACUUGUAAAGCGGCGAACGGGUGAGGAAUACAUGGGUAAAUCUACCAUCGAGUGGGGAAUAACCAACCGAAAGGUUGGCUAAUACCGCGUACGCCUCCGAGUCUUCGGGUUCGGAGGGAAAGCUGCACUGUGAGUGUAGCGCUCUUUGAUGAGCUCAUGUCCUAUCAGCUUGUUGGUAGGGUAACGGCCUACCAAGGCUUUGACGGGUAGCUGGUCUGAGAGGACGAUCAGCCACACUGGCACUGCGACACGGGCCAGACUCCUACGGGAGGCAGCAGUAAGGAAUAUUGCGCAAUGGGCGAAAGCCUGACGCAGCGACGCCGCGUGGGGGAUGAAGGUCUUCGGAUUGUAAACCCCUUUCGGGAGGGAAGAUGGAGCGAGCAAUCGUUCGGACGGUACCUCCAGAAGCAGCCACGGCCAACUUCGUGCCAGCAGCC
RNAcentral lists this ribosomal RNA (495 nucleotides) under uncultured bacterium. RNAcentral describes it as "bacterial SSU rRNA". It matches the Rfam family "Bacterial small subunit ribosomal RNA", at positions 29 to 516 of the family's 1533-position model. The record is from RNAcentral.